RNAcentral lists this ribosomal RNA (254 nucleotides) under uncultured bacterium. RNAcentral describes it as "partial 16S ribosomal RNA". It matches the Rfam family "Bacterial small subunit ribosomal RNA", at positions 524 to 776 of the family's 1533-position model. The record is from RNAcentral.
UACGUAGGGGGCAAGCGUUGUCCGGAAUUAUUGGGCGUAAAGAGCUCGUAGGUGGUUCGGUAAGUCGGAUGUGAAAUCUCCAGGCUCAACCUGGAGGGGUCAUUCGAUACUGCCGUGACUAGAGGUCGGUAGGGGAGUGUGGAAUUCCUGGUGGAGCGGUGAAAUGCGCAGAUAUCAGGAGGAACACCCGUAGCGAAGGCGGCACUCUGGGCCGAUACUGACACUGAGGAGCGAAAGCGUGGGGAGCGAACAGG